UUCCAGCUUGUUCUAGAAGUUUCCACCCCUUCCAUAACUUUCUUGGACCUUCUAGAAUAGACCUUCCAUGUGCUCUUGCCUCUUCCCUUUCCUUCAGAUGGAGGCGUAUUUCUAUCAUCCGUGAACGUAAAAAUGACACAGGAGGCAGCCAGAAGAGCCCCGAAAAUACCCAUCAGCCUGCGGUUCAAAGAAGUGCAUUGGGCAUUCUUGGUUAGAAGUGGGGCAAAAAUGGUGAAGGCGAUGAUUAUAGCAGUUGGCAAGAGAACAUUGAGCCUAGCAGUACCACUGAGGAUGACAUUGACUAGAUAUAGGUGAGUAGCCUGGUUGCCGAAGCAAUUUGCAGUUGAAGAGGAUGUUUUAAGGGCAUGCAAGGAGAUAACUUGUUGAGAUGGAGAGAAGCAAGCCAUUAAAUUCCUAAAAUGAAGCAAAGUAGAAAUGUAAUAGCUAUGUUUCUAUCGUGCAUUACAAUACAAGUUGAGGGUGAUAAUGAGGAACAAUACAAGGAGACUACCAUAGAUAGCUG
Long non-coding RNA from Hevea brasiliensis (rubber tree), 523 nucleotides. RefSeq lists it as uncharacterized. The record is from RefSeq and is a predicted model, not a curated record. Lineage: Eukaryota; Viridiplantae; Streptophyta; Magnoliopsida; Malpighiales; Euphorbiaceae. The transcript is spliced from 2 exons.